GGAAAGGCCCUUCGGGGGUACUCGAGUGGCGAACGGGUGAGUAACACGUGGGUGAUCUGCCCUGCACUUUGGGAUAAGCCUGGGAAACUGGGUCUAAUCGAAUAUGACCAUGCACUUCCUGGUGUGUGGUGGAAAGCUUUUGCGGUGUGGGAUGGGCCCGCGGCCUAUCAGCUUGUUGGUGGGGUAAUGGCCUACCAAGGCGACGACGGGUAGCCGGCCUGAGAGGGUGACCGGCCACACUGGGACUGAGAUACGGCCCAGACUCCUACGGGAGGCAGCAGUGGGGAAUAUGGCACAAUGGGCGCAAGCCUGAUGCAGCGACGCCGCGUGAGGGAUGACGGCCUUCGGGUUGUAAACCUCUUUCAGCACAGACGAAGCGCAAGUGACGGUAUGUGCAGAAGAAGGACCGGCCAACUACGUGCCAGCAGCCGCGGUAAUACGUAGGGUCCGAGCGUUGUCCGGAAUUACUGGGCGUAAAGAGCUCGUAGGUGGUGUGUCGCGUUGUUCGUGAAAACUCACAGCUUAACUGUGGGCGUGCGGGCGAUACGGGCAGACUUGAGUACUGCAGGGGAGACUGGAAUUCCUGGAGUAGCGGUGGAAUGCGCAGAUAUCAGGAGGAACACCGGUGGCGAAGGCGGGUCUCUGGGCAGUAACUGACGCUGAGGAGCGAAAGCGUGGGGAGCGAACAGGAUUAGAUACCCUGGUAGUCCACGCCGUAAACGGUGGGUACUAGGUGUGGGUUUCCUUCCUUGGGAUCCGUGCCGUAGCUAACGCAUUAAGUACCCCGCCUGGGGAGUACGGCCGCAAGGCUAAAACUCAAAGAGAUUGACGGGGGCCCGCACAAGCGGCGGAGCAUGUGGAUUAAUUCGAUGCAACGCGAAGAACCUUACCUGGGUUUGACAUGCACAGGACGACGGCAGAGAUGUCGUUUCCCUUGUGGCCUGUGUGCAGGUGGUGCAUGGCUGUCGACAGCUCGUGUCGUGAGAUGUUGGGUUAAGUCCCGCAACGAGCGCAACCCUUGUCCUAUGUUGCCAGCGGGUUAUGCCGGGGACUCGUAGGAGACUGCCGGGGUCAACUCGG
This 1080-nucleotide ribosomal RNA is filed under the name Mycolicibacterium frederiksbergense. RNAcentral describes it as "bacterial SSU rRNA". It matches the Rfam family "Bacterial small subunit ribosomal RNA", at positions 68 to 1166 of the family's 1533-position model. Lineage: Bacteria; Bacillati; Actinomycetota; Actinomycetes; Mycobacteriales; Mycobacteriaceae. The record is from RNAcentral.